GAUGAAGAACGUAGUGAAAUGCGAUAAGUAAUGUGAAUUGCAGAAUUCAGUGAAUCAUCGAAUCUUUGAACGCACCUUGCGCUCUUUGGUAUUCCGAAGAGCAUGCCUGUUUGAGUGUCAUGAAAAUAUCAACCUUGACUUGGGUUUUGUGCUCUAGUCUCGGCUUGGAAUUGGGUGCUUGCCGCUUUUACGAGCGGCUCACCUUAAAUGUAUUAGCUGGAUCUGUCUUUGAGACUUGGUUUGACUUGGCGUAAUAAGUAUUUCGCUAAGGACAUUCUUCGGAGUGGCCUCGUUUCUAGGACGCUUGUCCGCUUUCCAAUACAAGUUCCACCUCGUGGACAUGACUUUUUAUUAUCUGGCCUCAAAUCAGGUAGGACUACCCGCUGAACUUAAGCAUAUCAAUAACGGAGGA
This 412-nucleotide unclassified non-coding RNA is filed under the name soil metagenome. RNAcentral's name for it is "partial contains 5.8S ribosomal RNA, internal transcribed spacer 2, and large subunit ribosomal RNA". The stretch from base 1 to 120 matches the Rfam family "5.8S ribosomal RNA", at positions 35 to 154 of the family's 154-position model. The record is from RNAcentral.